Long non-coding RNA from Xenopus laevis (African clawed frog), 369 nucleotides. RefSeq lists it as uncharacterized. The record is from RefSeq and is a predicted model, not a curated record. The transcript has 2 exons. NCBI's taxonomy places the organism in Eukaryota, Metazoa, Chordata, Amphibia, Anura, Pipidae.
AAUUAACAAGAGGGAGAUGGUUGAUGAAAUUUGGGGUCACUUUUUUCCAUGUGGGAUGGUGACGGUAUGAAAACUGAUUGAUAAAGUCCUGUGAUUUGGGACUUUUUAGCUUAUAUUAUGAAAACUUCUUCAGCCAUGUAACAGCAGAGCAUGAACAAUGUUUGAACCCACCCUUUCCAAGACUCUGAGUCUCUGCCGGAACACCCCUCCCUGCCGUCUGACUAUAGCCACCCAAAGACUAUGUGGACCCUUUAAAGCCUUCUGCUUUGCUUUUGAACAAGUCCCAGUUCAAUAACUACACACUUGCUAAUGUUGUAAUUAUAAUUUCUCUACCUGGUUAUUAAAAUAUAAACAGCCUCAUUAAUAGCC